GCGGAGGAAAAGAAACCAACAGGGAUUGCCCCAGUAACGGCGAGUGAAGCGGCAACAGCUCAAAUUUGAAAUCUGGCCCCCAGGGCCCGAGUUGUAAUUUGCAGAGGAUGCUUUUGGCGCGGCGCCUUCCGAGUUCCCUGGAACGGGACGCCAUAGAGGGUGAGAGCCCCGUCUGGUCGGACGCCAAGCCAGUGUAAAGCUCCUUCGACGAGUCGAGUAGUUUGGGAAUGCUGCUCUAAAUGGGAGGUAUAUGUCUUCUAAAGCUAAAUAUAGGCCAGAGACCGAUAGCGCACAAGUAGAGUGAUCGAAAGAUGAAAAGCACUUUGAAAAGAGGGUUAAACAGUACGUGAAAUUGUUGAAAGGGAAGCACUUGUGACCAGACUUGGGCCCGGUGAAUCAUCCAGCGUUCUCGCUGGUGCACUUCGCCGGGCUCAGGCCAGCAUCAGUUCGCCGCGGGGGAUAAAAGCUUCGGGAACGUGGCUCCCUCGGGAGUGUUAUAGCCCGUUGCACA
RNAcentral lists this small RNA (511 nucleotides) under Pithoascus platysporus. Its description in RNAcentral is "eukaryotic LSU rRNA". It matches the Rfam family "Eukaryotic large subunit ribosomal RNA", at positions 50 to 570 of the family's 3401-position model. Lineage: Eukaryota; Fungi; Ascomycota; Sordariomycetes; Microascales; Microascaceae. The record is from RNAcentral.